RNAcentral lists this ribosomal RNA (429 nucleotides) under Chloroflexota bacterium. RNAcentral's name for it is "Chloroflexi bacterium partial 16S ribosomal RNA". It matches the Rfam family "Bacterial small subunit ribosomal RNA", at positions 355 to 776 of the family's 1533-position model. Lineage: Bacteria; Bacillati; Chloroflexota. The record is from RNAcentral.
UGGGGAAUAUUGCACAAUGGGCGCAAGCCUGAUGCAGCCAUGCCGCGUGUGUGAAGAAGGCCUUCGGGUUGUAAAGCACUUUCAGCGGGGAGGAAGGCGUUAAGGUUAAUAACCUUGGCGAUUGACGUUACCCGCAGAAGAAGCACCGGCUAACUCCGUGCCAGCAGCCGCGGUAAUACGGAGGGUGCAAGCGUUAAUCGGAAUUACUGGGCGUAAAGCGCACGCAGGCGGUCUGUCAAGUCGGAGGUGAAAUCCCCGGGCUCAACCUGGGAACUGCAUUCGAAACUGGCAGGCUAGAGUCUUGUAGAGGGGGGUAGAAUUCCAGGUGUAGCGGUGAAAUGCGUAGAGAUCUGGAGGAAUACCGGUGGCGAAGGCGGCCCCCUGGACGAAGACUGACGCUCAGGUGCGAAAGCGUGGGGAGCAAACAGG